GGGACCAUAGCUCAAUUGGUUAGCAGCAAUCGACUCAUAAUCGAUAGGUUCCUGGUUCGAGUCCAGGUGGUCCCACCA
This 78-nucleotide transfer RNA is filed under the name Gracilimonas sp. Its description in RNAcentral is "tRNA-Ile". It matches the Rfam family "tRNA". From Rfam's summary of the family: Transfer RNA (tRNA) molecules are approximately 80 nucleotides in length. Their secondary structure includes four short double-helical elements and three loops (D, anti-codon, and T loops). The record is from RNAcentral. Lineage: Bacteria; Pseudomonadati; Balneolota; Balneolia; Balneolales; Balneolaceae.